Molecule: small RNA, 824 nt
Filed under: Pongo abelii (Sumatran orangutan)
Lineage: Eukaryota; Metazoa; Chordata; Mammalia; Primates; Hominidae
Description: processed transcript
Source: RNAcentral
CCAGCUUGGAGACAACAUGUGGUUCUUGACAGCUCUGCUCCUUUGGGUUCCAGUUGGUGGGCAAGUGGGUGAGUGAUCUCUAACUCAGCUUCUCCUCCUAUGCCAUUUUCCUACUUCCAAAGGAUGGGUCCUAUUAACCUGAAGAAGAGCAUAUAGGGAAAGCAGAGAAAGAAGAUUUAUAAAUUAUGUAAAAUCUCCCAUAUUCAGAGCAUGAUUUUCAUAAAAACUAUGAUUUGUAAGCUUUCUUUCUAAAGUUUUCUGAAUAAGCUCUUUCCUCUGAACGAAAUGCCUGAAUGUAUAUAUAACAGCAGGAAAGGGCCAGAAUUGCACAAACACUGAAGUAGUCUGCUGACACUGAAGUAGUCUGCUAGGUUUCCCAACAUCCCCUAAACCAGUCCCCUUUAUAAGAAAGGAGAGUGGGUUUUUUCUCCUCAGAAAGAGCCAGGCAAAUACUGAAGGCUUCAAAGAGAGGAGUUUGAACCUCUGUUUCCAAUGUACAAGCUGCUGAAGCCCUGCAAUGUAUCCCCAGAGACAGUAUAGCUCAGAGGAUAAGGAAAACAGCUCUGGUCGGCUUGCCCAAGUCUAAAACCCUGCUUCAUUGCUCCCAACAGAAAAACCUACAUCAGUAAUUUAAUCCUCAGGAGCCCCAGAUUCCCAACACCCAGAUGAGGAUUUAAUAACAUGAACAGAGGUCUCUGCAGCAGGAGGACACUCUUAAAGGCUGGCUUUUGUAGGUUUCCACUUGCCUAUUUUUCAAAUAAAUCUUAAUAUGUAUUUUUCCCUUGUGCUAUCCACAAAAGCCUUACCAGUUGCUUAGAGCCCUC